UUAAAUUGAAGAGUUUGAUCAUGGCUCAGAUUGAACGCUGGCGGCAGGCCUAACACAUGCAAGUCGAACGGUAACAGGAAGCAGCUUGCUGCUUUGCUGACGAGUGGCGGACGGGUGAGUAAUGUCUGGGAAACUGCCUGAUGGAGGGGGAUAACUACUGGAAACGGUGGCUAAUACCGCAUAACGUCGCAAGACCAAAGAGGGGGACCUUCGGGCCUCUUGCCAUCAGAUGUGCCCAGAUGGGAUUAGCUUGUUGGUGAGGUAACGGCUCACCAAGGCGACGAUCCCUAGCUGGUCUGAGAGGAUGACCAGCCACACUGGAACUGAGACACGGUCCAGACUCCUACGGGAGGCAGCAGUGGGGAAUAUUGCACAAUGGGCGCAAGCCUGAUGCAGCCAUGCCGCGUGUAUGAAGAAGGCCUUCGGGUUGUAAAGUACUUUCAGCGGGGAGGAAGGUGUUGUGGUUAAUAACCACAGCAAUUGACGUUACCCGCAGAAGAAGCACCGGCUAACUCCGUGCCAGCAGCCGCGGUAAUACGGAGGGUGCAAGCGUUAAUCGGAAUUACUGGGCGUAAAGCGCACGCAGGCGGUCUGUCAAGUCGGAUGUGAAAUCCCCGGGCUCAACCUGGGAACUGCAUUCGAAACUGGCAGGCUUGAGUCUUGUAGAGGGGGGUAGAAUUCCAGGUGUAGCGGUGAAAUGCGUAGAGAUCUGGAGGAAUACCGGUGGCGAAGGCGGCCCCCUGGACAAAGACUGACGCUCAGGUGCGAAAGCGUGGGGAGCAAACAGGAUUAGAUACCCUGGUAGUCCACGCCGUAAACGAUGUCUACUUGGAGGUUGUGCCCUUGAGGCGUGGCUUCCGGAGCUAACGCGUUAAGUAGACCGCCUGGGGAGUACGGCCGCAAGGUUAAAACUCAAAUGAAUUGACGGGGGCCCGCACAAGCGGUGGAGCAUGUGGUUUAAUUCGAUGCAACGCGAAGAACCUUACCUGGUCUUGACAUCCACAGAACUUUCCAGAGAUGGAUUGGUGCCUUCGGGAACUGUGAGACAGGUGCUGCAUGGCUGUCGUCAGCUCGUGUUGUGAAAUGUUGGGUUAAGUCCCGCAACGAGCGCAACCCUUAUCCUUUGUUGCCAGCGAUUAGGUCGGGAACUCAAAGGAGACUGCCAGUGAUAAACUGGAGGAAGGUGGGGAUGACGUCAAGUCAUCAUGGCCCUUACGACCAGGGCUACACACGUGCUACAAUGGCGCAUACAAAGAGAAGCGACCUCGCGAGAGCAAGCGGACCUCAUAAAGUGCGUCGUAGUCCGGAUUGGAGUCUGCAACUCGACUCCAUGAAGUCGGAAUCGCUAGUAAUCGUGGAUCAGAAUGCCACGGUGAAUACGUUCCCGGGCCUUGUACACACCGCCCGUCACACCAUGGGAGUGGGUUGCAAAAGAAGUAGGUAGCUUAACCUUCGGGAGGGCGCUUACCACUUUGUGAUUCAUGACUGGGGUGAAGUCGUAACAAGGUAACCGUAGGGGAACCUGCGGUUGGAUCACCUCCUUACCUUAAAGAA
RNAcentral lists this ribosomal RNA (1554 nucleotides) under Salmonella enterica subsp. enterica serovar Heidelberg. RNAcentral's name for it is "bacterial SSU rRNA". It matches the Rfam family "Bacterial small subunit ribosomal RNA". Lineage: Bacteria; Pseudomonadati; Pseudomonadota; Gammaproteobacteria; Enterobacterales; Enterobacteriaceae. The record is from RNAcentral. RNAcentral also lists the same sequence under 1 other name.